AUUGAACGCUGGCGGCAGGCUUAACACAUGCAAGUCGAACGAGUGGCGGACGGGUGAGUAAUGUCUGGGAAACUGCCUGAUGGAGGGGGCUAACUACUGGAAACGGUAGCUAAUACCGCAUACCAUCAGAUGUGCCCAGAUGGGAUUAGCUAGUGGGGGGGGUAAGGGCUCACCAAGGCGACGAUCCCUAGCUGGUCUGAGAGGAUGACCAGCCACACUGGAACUGAGACACGGUCCAGACUCCUACGGGAGGCAGCAGUGGGGAAUAUUGCACAAUGGGCGCAAGCCUGAUGCAGCCAUGCCGCGUGUGUGAAGAAGGCCUUCGGGUUGUAAAGUACUUUCAGCGAGGAGGCGUUACCCGCAGAAGAAGCACCGGCUAACUCCGUGCCAGCAGCCGCGGUAAUAC
Molecule: ribosomal RNA, 406 nt
Filed under: uncultured bacterium
Lineage: Bacteria
Description: partial 16S ribosomal RNA
Rfam family: Bacterial small subunit ribosomal RNA
Source: RNAcentral